GAGAGUGUAGCUCAGUCGGUAGAGCAUUCGACUUUUAAUCGAAUGGUCCUGGGUUCGAGUCCCAGCACUCUCA
This 73-nucleotide transfer RNA is filed under the name Planctomycetota bacterium. RNAcentral's name for it is "tRNA-Lys". It matches the Rfam family "tRNA". Rfam says of the family: Transfer RNA (tRNA) molecules are approximately 80 nucleotides in length. Their secondary structure includes four short double-helical elements and three loops (D, anti-codon, and T loops). The record is from RNAcentral. RNAcentral also lists the same sequence under 2 other names. Lineage: Bacteria; Pseudomonadati; Planctomycetota.